GUUAGGAACAUUGCCAGAAUAGGGGGUGCCGACAUGCAGCUGCACGCAGAAAUGUCGGAAAGGUAUAUUCAGUAUACUCCCCGUCGCCAAAUUGGAGAUUGGAGAGCCGAGUGGUUCUACAUAGAUAAUCACUCUCCUGCUCUCCUCGAGAGAGCCAAAACAAGGAGGAAGAGGAUGAAUUGAUGAGAUAAAUUGCUGGUUUGAGAGAAAACAACGUGACUAGAGCGACAGUGAUGUUAGCUUGGCUCAGGAGAUAGAUUCAGCCAUUGCAGAGUCGCUGUAAUCUUGGUUUUGAGUAUACUGACCUGACAGAUCCAUCCCGGUUUUCUCACGAAAGGAUUUAUGAAGACGAAGCAAUGGAACAUAUUCAUAAUGUUCUUGAAGGAGUGAAAUCUGUUCCAAAGAUCCCUCAGUUAUAUCAUGUCAAGAAUCCUCCAAAUCUGGUGAUAAUCUGUUCCAUUGAGUAGUUAUAUCCUCUGACGUAAGCUGAUGACUGUUAUCUGUUUUGCAGGCUGAUUUGUUGGUGUUUCAAAGAGAUCCUCCUUUGCCUGAGAUUUUCCGACCAGUCGAUCUGAGACCCAGCUCUCACAACCAUUUACUCGUCGUAAUUUGGAUCCCAAUGUGACGGAAGCGCUAUCUGACUCUGACUCCGAUGAUCAUGUUACCCUUGCAGAAGUUUUGAAGGGUAAAACGGGAGGUGUCAAAUCUGAUAAACGUAGCAAGUUGCCUGAAGGGGAAGCUACGAGUAGUUGUCCCAAGAAGCCGAGGACAACUGUACACAAGAGAAAUGCCAGUGCCGUCGCCAGUCCUAAUGAGUCGCAAAACCAAAAGCGACGGACUGAAGAAAAAAUCACUGCGGCCACUGCCACACAAGGUGCCGAGAAGGUCUCUGAUGUGCAGGAGACAUCCAGGAGAGGGGCCGGCGCAAGAAGGUCAUCGUCGCAGGAAAUUCCCUCUGGCAAGCCCAUUGUGCCGUCAUAUAAUGGUUCUGUUAGACUGCCUGUUGCUCGACUACUUUAUAUAGAUGAACCAAUAUGUGCUUCUGGAGAAGUCACAAAGGAGGGGGAGUCAGAUGAUGACUUGAUAAAGUCCCUGCAAGCAUCGCCUCCUCCUUGCGAAUUUAAUCAUGGCGAUGAUCUCGAAGAUGAUCCAUAGCUGAUGUUUGAUAAUUUGAAGAAAUUCCAGGCGAAUAUCCCAAAUGACCAAUCGGUCAUCUCUGAAGUCAGAAGCUGAAGGAGACUGCUGCAGAUCGCCAGAGGAUCAAGUUGCUCAAAAAAGAGAAUGGCAUCCUGAGAAAGGACAAAACAUCUCUCGAGCGGAAAGUAGAAUUAUUAAAGGAAGUAAUCCAAAAGAAUCGAGAUGGGACUGAGAACCAUAAGAAAUCCUUAGAGGAGAUCCAGAAAGACCUGUGCAAGAGUGUGGAACAAUACAAAGCUGUUACUGCAGAGAAGGAUCUCCUGAAGGAAGAGCUAUUAGAGCACCGGACCGCUGCACAUGCUAUAGUCAACUUGGUCGAUCCAGUCGAAGAGGGUGUGCCAUUAAGACUUUGGUGGAGCGUCUACAUGAGGCUCCUCAAUAAAUUGCAGGCUACCUGACCGAGACCUCCAAGCAGUGUGUAGUGCAUGUCCUGGGACUUGUUAAGUCCUAUUGGCCAGAGGCGAAAGUAGCCCUUCUUGGUGACGGUAUGUCUGUCGAGUGUGAUGACGAUAAGUUCAUCAAGUAUGUAAAAGAGGCUGAGCUUGUGGCCAAACAAAUUGUAAAGAUGUUAGAGCAGUAACUAGAAUAGUAUGCUCGUGAUCUGUGUAAUUUUAACAUGUAUGCCUUUUGUGAUGUGACGUUGUUACUUUGAGAAAGUGU
Long non-coding RNA from Panicum virgatum (switchgrass), 1857 nucleotides. RefSeq lists it as uncharacterized. The record is from RefSeq and is a predicted model, not a curated record. The transcript is spliced from 4 exons. Lineage: Eukaryota; Viridiplantae; Streptophyta; Magnoliopsida; Poales; Poaceae.